UACGGGGGGGGCAAGCGUUGUUCGGAAUUACUGGGCGUAAAGGGCUCGUAGGUGGCCAACUAAGUCAGACGUGAAAUCCCCAGGCUCAACUUGGGAACUGCGUCUGAUACUGGAUGGCUUGAAUUCGGGAGAGGGAUGCAGAAUUCCAGGUGUAGCGGUGAAAUGCGUAGAUAUCUGGAGGAAUACCGGUGGCGAAGGCGGCAUCCUGGACCGGCAUUGACGCUGAGGCGCGAAAGCUAGGGGAGCGAACAGG
RNAcentral lists this ribosomal RNA (253 nucleotides) under uncultured bacterium. Its description in RNAcentral is "partial 16S ribosomal RNA". It matches the Rfam family "Bacterial small subunit ribosomal RNA", at positions 524 to 776 of the family's 1533-position model. The record is from RNAcentral.